AUGGAUGCGAUGUCAAGUUUUUGGUGGGGUGAUGAUGCUACUGGUAAGAAAAUGCACUGGUUUGCAUGGUGGAAGAUGUGCAUACCAAAGCAUAGGGGAGGUAUGGGGUUUAGAGAUAUCCAUUGCUUUAAUCUUGCAUUAUUGGCUAAACAGGCCUGGCGGCUGAUUGACAAUCCUCAUUCUUUAUGUGCGGUCAUCCUCAAAGCAAAAUAUUUUCCCAACGGAGACAUCAUGAAUGCCACAUUAAAGAAGAAAGCUUCCUAUACAUGGCAAAUCAUUAUGGCUGGAGUUGAUACGUUGAAGAAAGGGUAUAUUUGGAGGAUUGGAGACGGUGUUAAUGUUAAUAUAUGGGAUGAUCCGUGGAUACCUCAGUCCCCUUCAAGGAAAGUUGUAACAAUUCCUUGGGAACAACAUUAUCUCGCGUGUUUGUGA
Molecule: ribosomal RNA, 432 nt
Filed under: Triticum aestivum (bread wheat)
Lineage: Eukaryota; Viridiplantae; Streptophyta; Magnoliopsida; Poales; Poaceae
Description: partial small subunit ribosomal RNA
Source: RNAcentral